This is a non-coding RNA of Lonchura striata (white-rumped munia), 6493 nucleotides long. The record is from RefSeq and is a predicted model, not a curated record. Lineage: Eukaryota; Metazoa; Chordata; Aves; Passeriformes; Estrildidae.
CAGUUGAAAUUGAUGCAGUCGGAGCUCAAUGUUGAAGAAGUGGUAAACGACAGAAGCUGGAAGGUAUUUAAUGAGCGGUGCCGAAUUCACUACAAGCCUCCGAAGAGUCAAUGAUGAUGUGGGGUAUUUUCCAUCAAGGUGGUCCAUAACUGUGAGAGCAAAACUGGAAAGAGACCUUGGGUGAGCUGAAUUGGGACCCUCCAGAACCAGUAGAACCCAGUCUUGUUUUGUUUUGGACCUACUUAGAUGAAUUCUCAACUUGAAAUGAUUCUCCUGUAAUUAAGAGAAAACAACUCAUCUUUUGUACAAAAUAUGUGAACAAAUGAGUUUUAUAGUAUUAAAACAAUUUUCAAUCGGAAUGCAAAACUGGCAUCUUUCUUGAACUUCCACAGCUUCAGUGAUCCCAGAGGGGAAGAAAGAGUAAAACCUAUCCUGAGCAGGGAGGAGAAGGCUCUCCCUGAGCUGGUGCCUACUAAAAUAUCAGUGAACAUACUCUUUUUGUGGAAAUAAUCUGCUGAAGUCUGAAAGGAAGUAAAAAUUGCAGACUGAUCAACAGAUGUAUUAGAUUCAGCAUUGCUGAAAGUAAGACGUGACCAGCCUUGUUCUGAACUGCUCAGCAUGAGCAGCAGUGGCUCAGAGCUGUGUAUAGGCACAGGUUUGCCAUUGCUCCUGCAAUGCUGACAGGCAGCAUCUGUUGCUUGCUGCCCUUUGGUCUGUGUUUGCAAGUUCUGGAGUUUUCCAUUGUACAGGGGAAGUGGUGUAUAUUAAAACCACGUAACGUUGGAGCUGAAGAUGUGUCUCAUUUGGGAAUGAGACUGCCAGGGACCCUUUUUUGUCCCUCUCUCUGAAUAUUUAAGAGUAGUUCUAAGGGUGAAUUGUGUUUGAGCUGAGGAAACAGCUGUGCAUACUUGAUCCUGCUGAUCCUGGCCGUGGUGUUGUGUUUAGAAAGCUUGAAUGCAGCACCCCUGCAGUAACACAGCAUUUAAAGGCAGAUAAGUAGGAGGAAAGCUGAAUUGUUGCAAUUACACCUGUAUAUUUUACUUUUUAUUUUGUAUUUAUCUCAGAUAGGCUGACAGUGAAGUGACAAGGUCUGCGUGGUUGCCAGCUGAUACGAUCUUAAGAACCACUGAACUUAAACAGAUCCCUAAAAAUACAGGCCCUGUCUUGCAAAUACUUUGGAAUUCAGCAACAGCAAUGAAAUUACUGGAUAUACUCUCACAUCCCUAAAGCUUUGCAUAUAUAGGGAGUGGGAAAUAAAUGAAGCAAUGUACCUGUGUUACUGAGAGCUGGCAAAGAUCUGUGCAGCAGCAUCUGUUUUAUAGUUGCAGUUAAGACUCAAACUGCUUGGAAGCCUUUUAUUUUUAGGCAUCAGGGUCAUUUUAUCUCACCUUUUUUUGAGAAUGAAGUAGAAAUAUAUUUUAAAUCUUUGAGGAUGUAAAUCCUAAUGUUCAAACAUCAUUUUUCCCCCUCUUUUUUUCUUGAAGUACUGCAACUUCUUUAUCCAGAACUUUGCGUUGGAGCACUCAUUCUUGAAGAUUUCUCCUUGUUUUUCUGCAACUCUGAAAGCAGAAAAUGUGUUUAUUCUUCAGUUGUUAAAUUCUUAUAAUUGUUUGUCAUCAAAGUGUAAAUCAAAUACUGCUCAUCACUCUGGGCUGAAUUGGCACUAAAGAAAUUUCAACAGGAGACGAUGAUCAAUUAAUGAGAUGUAUAGAACACUAAGUUUUGGUUUCAAAGCUGGUACUUCAUUAUUUAUUAGACACUCUACAAGGAUAGGUGUCUAAAAUAUUUGUUCUCUCCAGGCCUUGGAUCAACUGCAAGGACAAAUUCUCCUUUUUAGCCAGUUGUACAAUAGAAACUUCUAUGAGUGUGUGUAGACUUGGGUCAAUAGUCUUGAAAUAAUAAUUUUUUAUUUCUGUAUAAACUAGAGACUGUAAUGAGAAUUAAUCAUUGUCUUCCUUUAUCCAUCCAGAUGUUUGCUCAGCUGUUGUGGAAAGCUUCUUCACUUAAGCAGAUGCUGUGAUAAAUUACCUGUGAAAUGGAUGUGAUACACAGUUUUUUUUUUUUUUUUCUUUUUUUUGCAUUAGUUAUGAGGAAAACUAUGUUAAAAAAAUCCCAAAACCCACAACCCCAAAAACUCAGCCCAACACAGAAUUAUUUUCAGUUUGAAUAUAAGGCCAAGCUAGUAGUCCUAUACAAACCUGAGUAUGGAAAACUGCUACCAUGAGAAGACUCCUGAAUCCCCAGCAUCCCUUCUUGGGGUGAUUGCAUACAGAGGGUUGCAGUAAGACAUUGAAUUGCUUUAUACAGUUUGCUCUGAGUGCAGGGGGUGUCUCUUAACAGUAGUCCACAGCAAAUCUGGUGGCUCAGAGGCAGCUUAACGUUGCUGUUGAACUUGAUGGAACAUGAAGGUGAGUAAAUAGAAGUGCAUGCCACGCUUUGGGUGCGGGCUGGAGGACACGGCUCUGCUGGUUCCUGAGAGCCUCAGAGCUGCGUGUGGAGCAGGAUGUUCUGGAAUGUGUGCAAACAGCAUCGGUGUGAGCUGUGUGCCACACUGAACACAGGCCGGUAAAUUCUGUGUCUAGGGACCCCUGAGGAUUCCAGGAUGGUGUUUAGUCAGGGAUUGAACCUUGCCUCAACAUUACCAUUGAGGUAGUUACAAAAUUACUGUUUGCUGUCAUAUUGGGGUCAAAUAGUGGACACUACAAACAGCAGAAUUUCUUCCUUUCUCUGGUUUUAAGUUCUAUUUCUGCAAGUAAAGACAUUUGAGCAUAGCUGAUGGCCGUGUCCAGAGUCCUGUGGAUGCCUUGCCUCUCCCACUAGGGCUUUCCCAUUGCUUGCAGGUGGUGAACAGAGGUGGGCAGAUCCCACAUGCUUGGAAAGUCCUCUCAAGCUUGUGCACCUUUCUUUCUGUGAAAUAGAAAGAUGUGUUGUUCUUUUUCUAGCAUUCAGUGCUGUUGUCUUCUGCAGCCUGUAGGCAUGAAAGACUGAUGAAACAGGUAAUUUCUUUAUAGAAUAUUUUUAACAGUAGAUUUCAGUUGUCUUGAAGCAGACUGAGAGGAAGAGGCUCAGCAUAGGCUGGGCCAUGAUAACUGUGCUGCUGAAGGUCAGGUUUCUGUUGAUCCUUUUUCAUGUACAAUGUCAGAAAUCUUUCAAAAUUGGGAUGGGUAGCAGGAGUGGAAGCCUUUUUUGCAGACCAGCACAUUGAAAAUCAAGGCUGUUCCUGUGAUGAUGAGAGCAGAUCUUCACCUGGUACAUGGAGGGCUGCUUUCCUCUAGAAGCUCUUAAAGACAUUCAGAUCAUGUCAUGUGCAGCCACAAUUACAUGUCACUGUGAAACCAGAAGACUGACCUUACUGACUUGGCUUUCACAAUCAUUUCUACAGAGCUGACUUCAUUCCUGCUUUAAAAAUUACUUGUAAAUACAUAACCCUGGGGUUUGGAUUUGGUGGAGGUUAAUUUUUUUUGCUUUUUUUUGUACUGGUGUUUUUAUCAGCAAUAGCUUGGCACUCUUAAAAUUGCUUAAACAGGACCGGAGGGUAGUGGUCUGCCAAUGGUAAAGAUCUGUUUCUUCUGUGUUGGAAUAGUACAUGGUGCAAGAUGUUACUCAGCUUCAAAGCUGUACAGAAUGCCAGUGGUGGUUUCCCAGCAGAGAUUCUCCAGGAUAACAGCAGCACAGUGUCAUGAGAGGAAGCUGCCAGUUUUGCUGAUGGAGAGUAGACUGACCUGGUACGUGAUACCAGCCACAUCUCAAACAUCACAGGGGGUACACUCACCUUGUUGUGCAAGAGAUGACGUGGAGGCAGCUGUUCUUUUCAAGGCAGUGCUCCAAAUCCUGGUUCAUUACAUCCAAAACUUGAUGUAGAGAAGGGUGGCUGGAGGUGGAGGUUGCCCCAGAUAAUGUUGAUCAAUUGCCUAUGGUUAUCUUUGAUCACAGGUCUGUGAAAUGUCAGCACUUCAAAGUGGUUUCAUGAAAUACUUGUGCAGGAUGAGAGUACUGCAUCCCAGUCUUACAAAUACCACUUUUUGGUAUUUUGGGAGAGCCAUUAGUACUGCCAUGGAAAGGAAACAGUCUGUUUGCCUCUGUAAACUUCAGCAUCAACUUGCUGAUACUUAGGCGUGAUUUUUUUUCCCCUUCUGCAAAACUGUGCAUUCUAGGGAAAAAAAAGUUGCUUUAAAGUAAAAAACCAGCAAACCCAGAAAUAUGGAGUGAAUGAUUUCCAUGCAACAUUAAUAUCUUCAGUUUCACACCUAGAUUCUUUCCAAAAUUAUAAGUGAACCCUCCUAGACUUUGUGCUCAGUGUAUUUGUUGCUAGACAAAAUCAAGAGUUCUCCAGGAAUGUACUACUGCCCUAGGGAUCUUAACAUCCCUUCCCAAGGAAGUUAGCAGGAUCUGUGUCCUGGUGAGUGGACAGGUUUAUAAAAUACCCUGUUUUAGUACUGGUGCUGUGCAGUUGUUGGACACAUUCUCUGAUUUCUGGCCUUAGUAAGGUGAACUGGGUCUUCCAGUUCCUUAACUUAUCUGUCCUGCUGUAUGAAUAAGGGGUGGUGGAACAUGAUCAGCAUUUGAGUGAAUCAGCAAGCUCCUAUGCAAAAGAAGAUUUGAGUUGUCAUCAGCUCCAUGAAUAGGACUUUGAGGAACUCCUCAUCUGGAGAGAAGUUGUUGAAAAUGACAGAAUUCCAGUUUUAUCAGCUGCCACUCCCUUUAUUCCUGAGUAUAGGAAGGAUUUUUCUCUCUGUUCACAAAAAUAUUGUCUCAGGAAAAUGAACUUUCCUCAAAUGCUUUUUGUCUGCUUCCAUAGCACUAUUGUUCAAGUCUAGAAAAUUCUGCAGUAUCUUUUUCAGUAACAUGCUGUAAUACUCAUCAAUACUGUUGAGUGUAGGGCUCCUACAGCCCCAGUUUCUCAAUCUCAGGGGCUUUGUACCAAAUCCCCUGGUUUUGAAGUCAGAUCUGAAGUACUUUUUACAGUGUCUUGCAUCAUUUGUUAUCUGUGAGGAGGAGGUUCAGUAGUAUGGGUAGGACACAGAGAAGUUGCUAUGGCCAUAAACCCACCUCUUCCUAGCAAAUUCCCUAAUACUGAUCCCAGCAGAAAUGCCCAUUGCCUGUGUGCAGGACAUAUUCUCAUUUCAUGUGCUGCCAUGUACCUGCCCCUACAGACUAAAAAGUGUCUGGUCUGUUCCUGCUUCUCUGGUACUUGCUGUGGAACAACAUUCCUCUUUUUUGCUGCUGAGGAGGAUGGCAGGAAUAUUGACAGGGAGUAAUUUUAUCUGUGGUCUUCAAGUGUUAGUUCUCCCUUACCAGGGAGGGCUGCUAGCAGUUAUUAGCCUUCCCCCAGUUGGAUUUGAGCUUCGUGCAUUCACAUUCGUGAGUCUGAUUGUGCCAUGACACUAACUGCAGAAUGAAUACUUCUGACUGUAUGUUCUCAUGUGAUCUGUUUCAACAGCAUACGUUGAAAAUGGGACAGCUUUUGUGUUUUUUGAUUGUACUUUGUCUUCCAGGAAAUUGGCACUAGAGUUAAAAAGCAGAUUUUAUUGCACAUUCAGUUGCUAUUAUGAUUGCCUGAAUGCAGCUCUUGGUUUGAUGGGAAAGGAGCAGAAAUACCUUAUUUUCAGUACUUACCUGAAUCUGGGAUGGAAUUAUUUUCUACUUCUGAUGCUGGUGUUUACCUUGGCAUAUUUUUGGUCAGGCAGAGGGAAGUCAAGUCACUGAAUGUAAAAUGCUGUCUGUUCCUGUUUCCCCACUUAGAAGGAUUUUGAGAGAUUAAAAUUUCAAGUUUAACGGGACCUUCGCUAAGGCAAGUGCUGCAUCAUCCUCUGAUCAGUAAAGGUAUUGGGAAAUACUGGGUGUGUCUUUGAUUUGUUUCUCAAGACCUCAGCCUAGUCAUCUGUAUUUGGGUGGGGAGGCAAGAGAUUUCAGCUGCAGCCCAAACCAACUCUUUAAGAUGUGGGUGACUGGAGGCUGAUGUCUGCUUUUCUUUUGGAUGUGAAGACCAUAAACAUUUCUUUGAGUGCUUUUUACAUUUAUUAGUAAUAUUGCCAGUGCUUUACAUUGCUUUCCCCCCCCCUUUUCCCCUUUUGUCUCCUCCAGUUCAGUAAUGGUAGGCUCCGUGUGUUGCAGGUCACAUGGUUCUAUGACACAUGUGUGUGUGUGUAUAUAUGUGAGAUGCCUGGGGACUCUGCUCAGACUGCGCUGAACUUCCCUCUUCAGAGCUGCUCGCCAUUUCAGAGAAGUCACUUGCCACCAUGAUGACUGGGGGUUUAUCUGAGGCCAAGCCAGCUACUCCAGAAGUUCAGCAGCUUGCUAACCAGGUGAAGCCACAGUUUCAAAGCCAGGCAAACACGAACUGUGCUGUCUUUACAGCCAUAAUAUAUAAGACUCAAGUGGUUGCUGGGACAAUGUACUUUAUUAAGGUUUGUAUAUCUUGUAGGAGGGAGUGUUUUGGAAUGAAAUUAUACAGGUGACUGGCAGAGUGGCUUACAGCUAGCAAGAGAGCAAA